This 853-nucleotide long non-coding RNA is filed under the name Anolis carolinensis (green anole). RNAcentral's name for it is "lncRNA (ENSACAG00000033752.2)". Lineage: Eukaryota; Metazoa; Chordata; Lepidosauria; Squamata; Anolidae. The record is from RNAcentral.
CUGAAAUCUCUUCUGCAUUACCAGUUUGAAAAAGUCUUUGUGGCAUGUUUUCCAAGCCACUGUGGUAGCACUAUUGUGACAUGCUGUCUGCAAUUACUCAAGUUUGCUUAAUCAAAGGUCCUUUUUUUUCUAUUUCUUCAUCCACAGACACAAAAGGACCAGGUGAGCUGUGCCUUUCACUAAUCCAAAAGGCUUCAUUUCUUCCUCUUUACUACAAAAUCAUGCAUUCUUUUGAGGGUUGCUGUCAGCUUCGGUGAAACGACUUAAUCAACUUCCCUAAUUUACUUCCUGAUAUCACUAUUUUGUUAGUGAAAGGUUUUGCAGAAGAAACCCUUGGGAACUGUCUCUUGGGGCACACCAGCUUCUGCACUGACAUAUCUUGGCUGGUAGUAGUGUGUUUGGCACGCUGUGAAGAUGAGCUCAAAAUGUUGUUUAUUAUGCAUUUUUAGGGAGGAAAUGUGCAUUCAUUGCACUAAGAGAUGAAGUGGAAAAAUAAUUGCAUUGGAACAGCUACAAAUGACAGGCAAGCAUCUACAAAGUAUGCCACUUUCAUAGCUGUUGUAGGGAAGCAGUGUAGGAUAAAGACCAACCAAGAAUGUCCUUGAAGGCACCCCUUCAAUCCUGGACAGACUUACCUGAAUCCAAAUCCUCUAGCGGUCACGGAAAGUGUUCCAUAUUUCAAAAAUACUCAACAAAAGGAUUUCUCUUGGUGUUAUUUCUCCCGUCAUCUACAACAUUUUCUGGUGCCAUGACUCGGAUCAAGAGGUCAAAGGUGAGAGAAGCCGAGAGAGAGAAUUUUGAGAUCGGGAACACCUUCAGGAGUCAGCCACGCCAGCAUCCAACCAGCGACUGA